GCAGCAGCACGAAGUGAAUGUGUAAGGUGUUUCAGGAUCUUUCAUUCAAUUUCCUAACUCAGAAUCUGAAGUUAAAUAAUUUCAACUAUCUGUCUUUCAGCCAUUUCAAAUUCCUUUGGAUUCGGUGGACACAACUCUGUGGUAGCCUUUUCUGCAUUUAAACCCUGAGAGCAUGGCCUUCUUCUGCAUUCGGGCCGCGGUCAUUUACAUUUACCAUGGCCUGCAUUUCUUGUAGGAACCACUGGAGAGUUGCUUGCUUAUAGACAGAGUCAUCGACAUCACUUCCCCCUUUUAGCUUUUUGAGCUGCUGAUAGUAGUCAGUUUCUCAUUUCAGUAUCAAGUCUAUCUUAAGAAGGUCUUGCUUAAUUUUUCUUUUCAAAUUACCAUUUCAUUGUCAUUUUCCUUGGAACUUUUAGCUUAAGAUCUGCUGUGAUCAUGUGGUUUUGAUUUCAAAUUAAUUAUGUAGCGGAUACGAACAAGCAAUCAUAAAAAGUCUUUUUGAAUUAUGUAAUUACGAUAACUGUUAUUUUCUUUUUCCAUAUGAGAUCCAUUCUUGCUGCUUUAUUAAACAGCAGUAACAAGAUAUAUAUUUUCUGCUUUGUUGCCAUGAGUUACCAAACUUGGAUCUGUAAUAAUCUACCAAAGCUGCCGCCAAUUUUUUUCUAUGACCAAAACUGACCGGA
Molecule: long non-coding RNA, 683 nt
Filed under: Ricinus communis (castor bean)
Lineage: Eukaryota; Viridiplantae; Streptophyta; Magnoliopsida; Malpighiales; Euphorbiaceae
Description: long non-coding RNA (RCOM_LNC003646)
Source: RNAcentral